AGCGAACGCUGGCGGCAGGCCUAACACAUGCAAGUCGAACGAACCUUUCGGGGUUAGUGGCGGACGGGUGUGUAACACGUGGGAACGUGCCUUUAGGUUCGGAAUAACUCAGGGAAACUUGUGCUAAUACCGAAUGUGCCCUUCGGGGGAAAGAUCUAUCGCCUUUAGAGCGGCCCGCGUCUGAUUAGCUAGUUGGUUGAGGUAAUGGCUCACCAAGGCGACGAUCAGUAGCUGGUCUGAGAGGAUGUUCAGCCACAUUGGGACUGAGACACGGCCCAAACUCCUACGGGAGGCAGCAGUGGGGAAUCUUGCGCAAUGGGCGAAAGCCUGACGCAGCCAUGCCGCGUGAAUGAUGAAGGUCUUAGGAUUGUAAAAUUCUUUCACCGGGGACGAUAAUGACGGUACCCGGAGAAGAAGCCCCGGCUAACUUCGUG
This 434-nucleotide ribosomal RNA is filed under the name uncultured bacterium. RNAcentral's name for it is "partial 16S ribosomal RNA". It matches the Rfam family "Bacterial small subunit ribosomal RNA", at positions 29 to 507 of the family's 1533-position model. The record is from RNAcentral.